Molecule: ribosomal RNA, 233 nt
Filed under: Psychrobacter sp.
Lineage: Bacteria; Pseudomonadati; Pseudomonadota; Gammaproteobacteria; Moraxellales; Moraxellaceae
Description: partial 16S ribosomal RNA
Rfam family: Bacterial small subunit ribosomal RNA
Source: RNAcentral
GGAGGAAGGCGGGGACGACGUCAAGUCAUCAUGGCCCUUACGACCAGGGCUACACACGUGCUACAAUGGUAGGUACAGAGGGCAGCUACACAGCGAUGUGAUGCGAAUCUUUCAAAGCCUAUCGUAGUCCAGAUUGGAGUCUGCAACUCGACUCCAUGAAGUAGGAAUCGCUAGUAAUCGCGGAUCAGAAUGCCGCGGUGAAUACGUUCCCGGGCCUUGUACACACCGCCCGU